CAUGCGGACCGGGCCCCUCUGGCAAGCGUGUGCAAGCGCUUGUGAUGUCGGACCGCAUCG
Molecule: non-coding RNA, 60 nt
Organism: Erythrobacter sp. AP23
Lineage: Bacteria; Pseudomonadati; Pseudomonadota; Alphaproteobacteria; Sphingomonadales; Erythrobacteraceae
Source: Rfam